Molecule: small RNA, 510 nt
Filed under: Pan troglodytes (chimpanzee)
Lineage: Eukaryota; Metazoa; Chordata; Mammalia; Primates; Hominidae
Description: retained intron
Source: RNAcentral
AGGCACAGCUGUCCUUCACUCGCACGGAGCAACCUCAGGACAGAUGGUGGGAGAGGAAGGGCAACUCCAGGAGGCACAUUUUAGGAAACUGCCCAUUGAGCCAGCUUCGAUCCUCCAAACCUCGUCAGCAUGCACAGGCUCCCUGACUCGGCAGCAAGGACGGCCUCACCAGCUGACCCCCAUGCCCGGCACCCCCUUCACCACAGGGUCCUGAAAACUCCAGAGAGCAGUGCCCUGUGCAUUAAACACAGACUGCACCCUUGUACUCAGGUACGACCAUUUGUCCUGGACAAAAAUUAAACUGAUGAGGGAACAAAAUAGGGCCUUAUAGAAGGUGAGUGGAAAAGCAGGGAAGGCAAACCCCCAAAUUCAGGAGGGAGGAUGGAAAUGGCCUGGGGAGCAGAGGCAGGAGGUUUUGUGGACAGGGCUGAUGGAGCUCUGCGGGGAGAAGAGGCAGGAGAUUGGUUUUGUGGACAGGGCUGGUGGAGCUCUGGGGGAGAAGAGGCAGGA